RNAcentral lists this ribosomal RNA (424 nucleotides) under uncultured bacterium. Its description in RNAcentral is "bacterial SSU rRNA". It matches the Rfam family "Bacterial small subunit ribosomal RNA", at positions 355 to 775 of the family's 1533-position model. The record is from RNAcentral.
UGAGGAAUAUUGGUCAAUGGGCGCAAGCCUGAACCAGCCAUCCCGCGUGCAGGAAGACGGCGCUAUGCGUCGUAAACUGCUUUUCCAGGGGGAGAAACUUGCGCACGUGUUGCGCAAUUGACGGUACCCUGGGGAUAGGCAUCGGCUAACUCCGUGCCAGCAGCCGCGGUAAUACGGAGGAUGCGAGCGUUAUCCGGAUUCAUUGGGUUUAAAGGGUGCGUAGGCGGACUAUUAAGUCAGUGGUGAAAUCCUGCAGCUUAACUGCAGAACUGCCAUUGAUACUGAUAGCCUUGAGUUUGGUUAAGGUAGGCGGAAUGUGUAAUGUAGCGGUGAAAUGCUUAGAUAUUACACAGAACACCAAUUGCGUAGGCAGCUUACUGAGCCGACACUGACGCUGAGGCACGAAAGCGUGGGGAUCGAACAG